Molecule: ribosomal RNA, 754 nt
Filed under: uncultured archaeon
Lineage: Archaea
Description: bacterial SSU rRNA
Rfam family: Archaeal small subunit ribosomal RNA
Source: RNAcentral
AGUCAACAUGCCCAGGGGACGUGGAUAACCUCGGGAAACUGAGGAUAAACCGCGAUAGGUCAUUACUUCUGGAAUGGGUAAUGACUUAAACCUAUAUGGCCCCUGGAUUGGACUGCGGCCGAUCAGGCUGUUGGUGAGGUAAUGGCCCACCAAACCUGUAACCGGUACGGGCUCUGAGAGGAGGAGCCCGGAGAUGGGCACUGAGACAAGGGCCCAGGCCCUAUGGGGCGCAGCAGGCGCGAAACCUCUGCAAUAGGCGAAAGCUUGACAGGGUUACUCUGAGUGAUUUCCGUUAAGGAGAUCUUCUGGCACCUCUAAAAAUGGUGCAGAAUAAGGGGUGGGCAAGUCUGGUGUCAGCCGCCGCGGUAAUACCAGCACCCCGAGUGGUCGGGACGUUUAUUGGGCCUAAAGCAUCCGUAGCCGGUUCUACAAGUCUUCCGUUAAAUCCACCUGCUUAACAGAUGGGCUGCGGAAGAUACUAUAGAGCUAGGAGGCGGGAGAGGCAAGCGGUACUCGAUGGGUAGGGGUAAAAUCCGCUGAUCCAUUGAAGACCACCAGUGGCGAAGGCGGCUUGCCAGAACGCGCUCGACGGUGAGGGAUGAAAGCUGGGGGAGCAAACCGGAUUAGAUACCCGGGUAGUCCCAGCUGUAAACGAUGCAGACUCGGUGAUGAGUUGGCUUAUUGCUAACUCAGUGCCGCAGGGAAGCCGUUAAGUUUGCCGCCUGGGGAGUACGGUCGCAAGACUGAAACUUAA